RNAcentral lists this transfer RNA (82 nucleotides) under Chryseobacterium balustinum. RNAcentral's name for it is "tRNA-Leu". It matches the Rfam family "tRNA". From Rfam's summary of the family: Transfer RNA (tRNA) molecules are approximately 80 nucleotides in length. RNAcentral also lists the same sequence under 7 other names. The record is from RNAcentral. Lineage: Bacteria; Pseudomonadati; Bacteroidota; Flavobacteriia; Flavobacteriales; Weeksellaceae.
GCCCUGGUGGUGGAAUUGGUAGACACGCAGGACUUAAAAUCCUGUGCCUUCGGGUGUACGGGUUCAAGUCCCGUCUGGGGUA